Molecule: ribosomal RNA, 465 nt
Filed under: uncultured bacterium
Lineage: Bacteria
Description: partial 16S ribosomal RNA
Rfam family: Bacterial small subunit ribosomal RNA
Source: RNAcentral
GCUACGGGAGGCAGCAGUAGGGAAUCUUCCACAAUGGGCGAAAGCCUGAUGGAGCAACGCCGCGUGGGUGAAGAAGGUCUUCGGAGCGUAAAACCCUGUUGGUAGAGAAGAAAGUGCGUGAGAGUAACUGUUCACGUGUCGACGGUAUCUAACCAGAAAGCCACGGCUAACUACGUGCCAGCAGCCGCGGUAAUACGUAGGGGGCAAGCGUUAUCCGGAUUUAUUGGGCGUAAAGGGAACGCAGCCGGUCUUUUAAGUCUGAUGUGAAAGCCUUCGGCUUAACCGGAGUAGUGCAUUGGAAACUUGGAGACUUGAGUGCAGCAGAGGAGAGUGGAACUCCGUUUGUCGCGGUGACAUGCGUAUAUAUCUGGAAGAACACCAGUGGCGAACGCGGCUCUCUGGUCUGUAACUGACGCUGAGGUUCGAAAGCGUGGGUAGCAAACAGGAUUAGCUACCCCAGUAGUC